This 301-nucleotide ribosomal RNA is filed under the name uncultured bacterium. RNAcentral's name for it is "partial 16S ribosomal RNA". It matches the Rfam family "Bacterial small subunit ribosomal RNA", at positions 509 to 808 of the family's 1533-position model. The record is from RNAcentral.
CAGUCGCCGCGGGAAUACGUAGGUCCCGAGCGUUGUCCGGAUUUAUUGGGCGUAAAGCGAGCGCAGGCGGUUAGAUAAGUCUGAAGUUAAAGGCUGUGGCUUAACCAUAGUACGCUUUGGAAACUGUUUAACUUGAGUGCAAGAGGGGAGAGUGGAAUUCCAUGUGUAGCGGUGAAGUGCGUAGAUAUAUGGAGGAACACCGGUGGCGAGAGCGGCUCUCUGGCUUGUAACUGACGCUGAGGCUCGAAAGCGUGGGGAGCAAACAGGAUUAGAUACCCCAGUAGUCCCUGUCUCUUAUACC